GACGAGCCUCACAAACGUUAUUCGGAAUUACUGGGCUUAAAGGGUGCGUAGGCGGCGUAGAAAGUUGGGUGUGAAAUCCCUCAGCUUAACUGAGGAAGGGCGCCCAAAACUACUAUGCUCGAGGGAGAUAGAGGAGUGCGGAACUUAGGGUGGAGCGGUGAAAUGCGUUGAUAUCCUAGGGAACACCGGUGGCGAAAGCGGCACUCUGGAUCUCUUCUGACGCUGAGGUGCGAAAGCUAGGGUAGCAAACGGG
This 253-nucleotide ribosomal RNA is filed under the name uncultured bacterium. Its description in RNAcentral is "partial 16S ribosomal RNA". It matches the Rfam family "Bacterial small subunit ribosomal RNA", at positions 524 to 776 of the family's 1533-position model. The record is from RNAcentral.